AAUUCUCAAUCUGAUCGUCCGAUUGUUGUAAACUUCUACCAUUAGUGUCUUUAUAAGCCUUCUAAAUGCUUAAGAAGUUUCAAUCCAAUCUAACUUAUAGAUUGCAAGAAAAUACCAUAAAUCCACACUGAUGUAUCUUGAUCGCCGCCUAAAAGUCCUUGACUUAUGAUGCCAAGAGUUACCUUAUUCCAGCUACUAGAACUCCAAAUAUUAUAGAAUCCCUAAACAACCCCUAUCUGCUAACUUUCGAUACCUCUUUACACUAAUGGUCAAAUAUCCUCUAUCUGUUUCGUCAGAUUAAUACAAACUUUUACAUGCACUCGGCAUACUCAAUCUUCUAGACACCUCUAAAUUUCAACUGCAGAAGUUUUUCCAAUUUCACAAAACAAUCAAGAGUACCAACCUUAACUUUAUUGCAAAAAAAUCCAAAUCACUAAUACAAAUACUAACUUUCAGCAACGAUUGUAAAAGUUCCUCCAAACCAUAUGAAAAAUCC
This 496-nucleotide long non-coding RNA is filed under the name Physcomitrium patens. RNAcentral describes it as "long non-coding RNA (PPAT_LNC008888)". Lineage: Eukaryota; Viridiplantae; Streptophyta; Bryopsida; Funariales; Funariaceae. The record is from RNAcentral.